This 497-nucleotide ribosomal RNA is filed under the name uncultured bacterium. RNAcentral's name for it is "partial 16S ribosomal RNA". It matches the Rfam family "Bacterial small subunit ribosomal RNA", at positions 28 to 507 of the family's 1533-position model. The record is from RNAcentral.
GAUGAACGCUGGCGGCGUGCCUAAUACAUGCAAGUCGAGCGAACAGACGAGGAGCUUGCUCCUCUGACGUUAGCGGCGGACGGGUGAGUAACACGUGGAUAACCUACCUAUAAGACUGGGAUAACUUCGGGAAACCGGAGCUAAUACCGGAUAAUAUAUUGAACCGCAUGGUUCAAUAGUGAAAGACGGUUUUGCUGUCACUUAUAGAUGGAUCCGCGCCGCAUUAGCUAGUUGGUAAGGUAACGGCUUACCAAGGCAACGAUGCGUAGCCGACCUGAGAGGGUGAUCGGCCACACUGGAACUGAGACACGGUCCAGACUCCUACGGGAGGCGGCAGUAGGGAAUCCUCCGCAAUGGGCGAAAGCCUGACGGAGCAACGCCGCGUGAGUGAUGAAGGUCUUCGGAUCGUAAAACUCUGUUAUUAGGGAAGAACAAAUGUGUAAGUAACUAUGCACGUCUUGACGGUACCUAAUCAGAAAGCCACGGCUAACUACGUG